GAGUUUGAUCCUGGCUCAGGACGAACGCUGGCGGCGCGCCUAACACAUGCAAGUCGAACGAGCGAGAGAGAGCUUGCUUUCUCGAGCGAGUGGCGAACGGGUGAGUAACGCGUGAGGAACCUGCCUCAAAGAGGGGGACAACAGUUGGAAACGACUGCUAAUACCGCAUAAGCCCACGGCUCGGCAUCGAGCAGAGGGAAAAGGAGCAAUCCGCUUUGAGAUGGCCUCGCGUCUGAUUAGCUGGUUGGUGAGGUAACGGCUUACCAAGGCGACGAUCAGUAGCCGGCUUGAGAGAGUGAUCGGCCACAUUGGGACUGAGACACGGCCCAAACUCCUACGGGAGGCAGCAGUAGGGAAUAUUGCACAAUGGGGGAAACCCUGAUGCAGCGACGCCGCGUGGAGGAAGAAGGUCUUCGGAUUGUAAACUCCUGUUGUUGGGGAAGAUAAUGACGGUACUCAACAAGGAAGUGACGGCUAACUACGUGCCAGCCGCCGCGGUAAUAC
Molecule: ribosomal RNA, 504 nt
Filed under: uncultured bacterium
Lineage: Bacteria
Description: bacterial SSU rRNA
Rfam family: Bacterial small subunit ribosomal RNA
Source: RNAcentral